CCCUUAGAUGUUCUGGGCCGCACGCGUGCUACACUGAGUGGAUCAGCGGGUCAGGUUGCGCGAAAGUGUUUCCUAAUCUUGAAAUCCGCUCGUGAUGGGGAUUGACGGUUGCAAUUUUCCGUCAUGAACGAGGAAUACCUUGUAAGCGCGGGUCAUCAUCCCGCGCUGAAUACGUCCCUGCCCUUUGUACACACCGCCCGUCGCUCCUACCGAUUGAGUGGUCCGGUGAGGCUUUGGGAUCUGAGCGGAAAGAGCGUUUCGCUGUUUCUGCUCGGAAAACUUAGUCGAACCUUAUCAUUUAGAGGAAGGAGAAGUCGUAACA
This 322-nucleotide ribosomal RNA is filed under the name uncultured eukaryote. Its description in RNAcentral is "partial 18S ribosomal RNA". It matches the Rfam family "Eukaryotic small subunit ribosomal RNA", at positions 1470 to 1796 of the family's 1831-position model. The record is from RNAcentral.